GACCUCUGAUCGGAAAAGAUCACCCGCUGAGUUUAAGCAUAUCACUAAGCGGAGGAAAAGAAACUAACGAGGAUUUCCC
RNAcentral lists this ribosomal RNA (79 nucleotides) under Spiridens vieillardii. Its description in RNAcentral is "partial 26S ribosomal RNA". It matches the Rfam family "Eukaryotic large subunit ribosomal RNA", at positions 1 to 80 of the family's 3401-position model. The record is from RNAcentral. Lineage: Eukaryota; Viridiplantae; Streptophyta; Bryopsida; Hypnodendrales; Spiridentaceae.